AACGGAUCUCUUGGCUCUCGCAUCGAUGAAGAACGCAGCGAAAUGCGAUACGUAAUGUGAAUUGCAGAAUUCAGUGAAUCAUCGAAUCUUUGAACGCACCUUGCGCCCCUUGGCAUUCCGAGGGGCACACCCGUUUGAGUGUCGUGAAAUCCUCAAAACCCCCUUUUCCUUUCAUCGGUAUGGGGAUUUUGGACUUGGAGGUUCAAUGCUCGCUUUUGCCUUUGAAAGCGAGCUCCUCUUAAAUGAAUCAGUGGGGUCCGCUUUGCUGAUCCUUGACGUGAUAAGAUGUUUCUACGUUUUGGACCUGGCACUGUUUUCUCCGCUCCUAAUCGUCUCAUUGACAAUGAUGGUGCUUCGGUCCCCUGCCAUCUCCACGUUGGCGGGAGGCUGGACCCACGAAAAGACCUUGACCUCAAAUCGGGUGAGACUACCCGCUGAACUUAAGCAUAUCAAUAAGCGGAGGAAAAGAAACUAACAAGGAUUCCCCUAGUAACUGCGAGUGAAGCGGGAAAAGCUCAAA
RNAcentral lists this ribosomal RNA (520 nucleotides) under uncultured fungus. Its description in RNAcentral is "eukaryotic LSU rRNA". The stretch from base 1 to 144 matches the Rfam family "5.8S ribosomal RNA". Lineage: Eukaryota; Fungi. The record is from RNAcentral.